Molecule: non-coding RNA, 183 nt
Filed under: candidate division TA06 bacterium
Lineage: Bacteria
Description: 6S RNA
Rfam family: 6S / SsrS RNA
About the family: E. coli 6S RNA was the first non coding RNA to be sequenced, but its function was unknown until recently. It consists of 184 nucleotides that fold into an extended hairpin structure with a large single-stranded internal bulge.
Source: RNAcentral
AGACCCCUGCCGUGCUCGUGAUCGGCAGAAGUUUUUUUGAGCCAACACGAACCGAAACGGGAACCUUCUCUUGCUCUGGUGUGCAUAUUCUGUGGCCUACAGAAGAGCCUAAAGGAGCAACGAGGUGCCCACCUGUGCAAACAGGUUCAAAAGAAUCUGCUGACACGGCGUGGUGGGGGUACC